GUGCUUGCUUUGGCAUCACACAUACUGAAAUUGGAAUGAUACAGAGAUUAGCAUGGCCUCCGUGCAAGAAUGACACACAGAUGCACAGUGUUCCAUAUUUUA
Small nuclear RNA from Peromyscus californicus insignis, 102 nucleotides. The record is from RefSeq and is a predicted model, not a curated record. NCBI's taxonomy places the organism in Eukaryota, Metazoa, Chordata, Mammalia, Rodentia, Cricetidae.